Molecule: ribosomal RNA, 440 nt
Filed under: uncultured bacterium
Lineage: Bacteria
Description: partial 16S ribosomal RNA
Rfam family: Bacterial small subunit ribosomal RNA
Source: RNAcentral
CCUACGGGAGGCAGCAGUGGGGGAUAUUGCACAAUGGGGGGAAGCCUGAUGCAGCGAAGCCGCGUGGAGGAAGAAGCGCCUCGGCGCGGAAAGCCCUGUCAGCAGGGAAGAAAAUGACGGUACCUGAAGAAGAAGCCCCGGCCAACUACGGGCCAGCAGCCGCGGUAAUACGUAGGGGGCAAGCGUUAUCCGGAUUUACUGGGUGUAAAGGGGGCGCAGACGGCGAUGCAAGCCAGGAGUGAAAGCCCGGGGCCAAACCCCGGGACUGCCCGUGGAACUGCGUGGCUGGAGUGCAGGAGGGGCAGGCGGAAUUCCUGGUGUAGCGGUGAAAUGCAUAGAUAUCACGCAGAACUCCGAUUGCGAAGGCAGCAUACCGGCGCCCAACUGACGCUGAAGCACGAAAGCGUGGGUAUCGAACAGGAUUAAAUACCCGUGUAGUC